RNAcentral lists this long non-coding RNA (979 nucleotides) under Apteryx rowi (Okarito brown kiwi). RNAcentral describes it as "lncRNA (ENSARWG00000018328.1)". The record is from RNAcentral. Lineage: Eukaryota; Metazoa; Chordata; Aves; Apterygiformes; Apterygidae.
CUUUGAUAUAAAGGUUUUACAUAUUCUUCAAACUAUUUUUUAUCUAGCAAUGGAAACAAUGAGGAAACCAUACAAGCAGUCUGCUUAUAUGCAUGCCUGAGAACAAACAGGCUGCCUGUGUAUUGCCUUUGGUAGAAAUACCCAUAUCUCAGUUUGAGUUCACCAAGCAAAGCUGCUUGGUGAGUAAACCAGCAAACAAGCUCUUCCUUGCAGACUUUAGCUAACCUCCCCUUGUUGUCACUUGGAUUUUGGCAGGAGUGAAAUCAAACUCAUCAGCUUGCUCAUGUAUGUGUGUGUCCUGCCACCUCAGGUCCUCUAGCUCACGUGCCUGAUCCUCCUCCACCGCACCAGGCACAUGCUAUAUGCAGGGCCCUGCUUUCCUUUUCUCCCCAAGGUGUGUGUUGAACUUGCAGCACAAAUGGGCUGCCUGCARCUGCUGGUGAGACCCAUGGCCAAAGGAGGAAGCAUGCUCAGGACAAGCCACCUUCCACACUGAGUCUACAUGCACCAGGAGUCAGAGGCCAAACAGGUCCUUGUCCUCUAAGCCUGAUGCCAGAGAGGAACCACUACCACUACCGCUACCACUCCGGCCCCAAAGUGGCUGUCACUCCAUGACAGAAACAAGUGAUGCUGCCAAGGAGCUCCCAGUGAGGAGCCAUCGCAUUUGGACUGUACCACUCCAUUAUGAAGUUAUCUGGUUCCUCUAACCUUCAGAUCUACUGGAGCCAUCUGCUAUCCCUGACAUUAAUGGAGGAAGGAAGGUGGAAAGCUGGGACUGCGUUAGGCACACUUGAAACUGGGUUUGGGUGCCUGUUUUUGGAUUUAAUGGAGAUUGCUGGUUUUAUACUUAAUUUCGCCAGUCUGCAUUUUCCUGUAUAUCAAAAGCACAUAGAGAUGUGAAUAGACCAUUUUCAUGUUUCAUAUAAAUCUAUUCAAGUGAAGAAAUAAAUAAACACUGUUACAAUGGAGUAAGAGUGAA